RNAcentral lists this ribosomal RNA (482 nucleotides) under uncultured bacterium. RNAcentral's name for it is "bacterial SSU rRNA". It matches the Rfam family "Bacterial small subunit ribosomal RNA", at positions 28 to 524 of the family's 1533-position model. The record is from RNAcentral.
GAUCAACGCUGGCGGCGUGCCUCAGACAUGCAAGUCGAACGAUUAAAGCUCUCUUCGGAGAGUGUAUAGAGUGGCGCACGGGUGAGUAACACGUAAGUAAUCUACCCUCGAGUGGGGAAUAACAACCGGAAACGGUUGCUAAUACCGCAUAAUGCAGCGGCACCGCAAGGUGACAGUUGUUAAAGAUUUAUCGCUUGAGGAGGAGCUUGCGGCAGAUUAGCUAGUUGGUAGGGUAACGGCUUACCAAGGCUACGAUCUGUAACCGGUCUAAGAGGACGGUCGGUCACACUGACACUGAAUAACGGGUCAGACUCCUACGGGAGGCAGCAGUCGGGAAUUUUGGGCAAUGGGCGAAAGCCUGACCCAGCAACGCCGCGUGAAGGAUGAAGUACUUCGGUAUGUAAACUUCGAAAGAAUAGGAAGAAUUAAUGACGGUACUAUUUAUAAGGUCCGGCUAACUACGUGCCAGCAGCCGCGGUAAU